Molecule: unclassified non-coding RNA, 319 nt
Filed under: plant metagenome
Description: partial contains small subunit ribosomal RNA, internal transcribed spacer 1, and 5.8S ribosomal RNA
Source: RNAcentral
UUUCCGUAGGUGAACCUGCGGAAGGGUCAUUGUAGGAUUGUUUUGGGAGGGGUGGUUGUGAUUUGUGGGUAUUGUGUGUGGUUGUUUGGAUUGCUUGGAUUGCUUGGAUUGCCUGGCUGUCUGCAACUCGACUCGUCUCAUCACAACCACUCUUUACAUUGGCACAGACCAGUGGUCUGAUGUUUAAAGCAACAGACUUGGUCUGAUGUUUGGAGCAACAGACCACUGGUGUCUGAUGUUUGCGCUUGCUCGUUUGACAGAAACAGUACCAUAUCAUAUUAUCAUUGCAAAACUUUUAACAAUGGAUCUCUUGGUUCUU